This 334-nucleotide unclassified non-coding RNA is filed under the name soil metagenome. RNAcentral's name for it is "partial contains 5.8S ribosomal RNA, internal transcribed spacer 2, and large subunit ribosomal RNA". The stretch from base 1 to 120 matches the Rfam family "5.8S ribosomal RNA", at positions 35 to 154 of the family's 154-position model. The record is from RNAcentral.
GAUGAAGAACGCAGCGAAAUGCGAUAAGUAAUGUGAAUUGCAGAAUUCAGUGAAUCAUCGAAUCUUUGAACGCACAUUGCGCCCGCCAGUAUUCUGGCGGGCAUGCCUGUUCGAGCGUCAUUUCAACCAUCAAGCCCCAGGCUUGUGUUGGGGACCUGCGGCUGCCGCAGGCCCUGAAAACCAGUGGCGGGCUCGCUGUCACACCGGGCGUAGUAGAUUUUAUCUCGCUCAGGGCGUGCUGCGGGUUCCGGCCGUUAAAAAGCCUUUUUUACCCAAGGUUGACCUCGGAUCAGGUAGGAAGACCCGCUGAACUUAAGCAUAUCAUAAGGGAGGA